RNAcentral lists this ribosomal RNA (434 nucleotides) under uncultured bacterium. Its description in RNAcentral is "bacterial SSU rRNA". It matches the Rfam family "Bacterial small subunit ribosomal RNA", at positions 958 to 1392 of the family's 1533-position model. The record is from RNAcentral.
AACGCGAAGAACCUUACCAAGUCUUGACAUCCCUCUGAAUAGGAAGUAAUGUUCCUAGGCCUUCGGGACAGAGGAGACAGGUGGUGCAUGGUUGUCGUCAGCUCGUGUCGUGAGAUGUUGGGUUAAGUCCCGCAACGAGCGCAACCCUUAUCUUUAGUAGCCAGCAGUUCGGCUGGGCACUCUAGAGAGACUGCCAGGGAUAACCUGGAGGAAGGCGGGGAUGACGUCAAAUCAUCAUGCCCCUUAUGACUUGGGCUACACACGUGCUACAAUGGCGUAAACAAAGGGAAGCGAUCACGUGAGUGUCAGCAAAUCCCAAAAAUAACGUCUCAGUUCGGAUUGUAGUCUGCAACUCGACUACAUGAAGCUGGAAUCGCUAGUAAUCGCGAAUCAGAAUGUCGCGGUGAAUACGUUCCCGGGUCUUGUACACACCG